Molecule: ribosomal RNA, 370 nt
Filed under: uncultured eukaryote
Lineage: Eukaryota
Description: partial 18S ribosomal RNA
Rfam family: Eukaryotic small subunit ribosomal RNA
Source: RNAcentral
CAAUAGCGUAUAUUAAAGUUGUUGCAGUUAAAAAGCUCGUAGUUGGAUUUCUGGUUGGAAGCUCCUGUCCUCUGAUGAGCGUACAAGUGCGUCCUACCAUCCUUCUGUUAACCUUUAAGGCUUUCGCGGCUUUCUAGGGGCUCAGAUAUUUUACCUUGAGAAAAUUAGAGUGUUUCAGGCAGGCUAGCGCCGGAAUACAUUAGCAUGGAAUAAUGGAAUAGGACUUUUGCCUCUUCUGUUGGUCAUGAGGCUCGAGUAAUGAUUAAUAGGGAUAGUUGGGGGCAUUAGUACUUAACUGUCAGAGGUGAAAUUCUCGGAUUUGUUAAAGACUAACUUAUGCGAAAGCAUUUGCCAAGGAUGUUUUCAUUAA